Molecule: unclassified non-coding RNA, 338 nt
Filed under: Farysia sp.
Lineage: Eukaryota; Fungi; Basidiomycota; Ustilaginomycetes; Ustilaginales; Ustilaginaceae
Description: partial contains 5.8S ribosomal RNA, internal transcribed spacer 2, and large subunit ribosomal RNA
Source: RNAcentral
CGCACCUUGCGCUCUCCUGGACUUACAUCCGGAGAGCAUGCCUGUCUGAGGGCCGCGAAUACCUUCGAACGACUACUUUUGCAAAAGAGUGGACGGAUCGGUACUGGGAACUGCCAUUUGCACUGGCUUUCUCGAAAUACAUCAGCUGGACUGCUCAUGCUUGGAAGGAGACAUGCUCUCCCUCUGUGAUUUGAUAAUUAUCAACUUUGCAGAGGUGUAUGAUGUCUCUUGCACCCAACGUGUGGCAAUGCCGGCUUUGAACCACGCUGUGCGCGUGCGCACAGCUGAUUUUAUUCUAAAACGGCCUCAGAUCAGGUAGGACUACCCGCUGAACUUAA